Molecule: ribosomal RNA, 247 nt
Filed under: uncultured bacterium
Lineage: Bacteria
Description: partial 16S ribosomal RNA
Rfam family: Bacterial small subunit ribosomal RNA
Source: RNAcentral
AUACGUAGGGUGCGAGCGUUAAUCGGAAUUACUGGGCGUAAAGCGUGCGCAGGCGGUUUUGUAAGACAGGCGUGAAAUCCCCGGGCUCAACCUGGGAAUGGCGCUUGUGACUGCAAAGCUGGAGUGCGGCAGAGGGGGAUGGAAUUCCGCGUGUAGCAGUGAAAUGCGUAGAUAUGCGGAGGAACACCGAUGGCGAAGGCAAUCCCCUGGGCCUGCACUGACGCUCAUGCACGAAAGCGUGGGGAGC